GACGAACCGUCCAAACGUUAUUCGGAAUUACUGGGCUUAAAGGGUGCGUAGGCGGCGCAGAAAGUAGGGUGUGAAAUCCCUCGGCUCAACCGAGGAACUGCGCCCUAAACUACUGUGCUUGAGGAAGAUAGAGGUGAGCGGAACUUAGGGUGGAGCGGUGAAAUGCGUUGAUAUCCUAAGGAACACCGGUGGCGAAGGCGGCUCACUGGAUCUUUUCUGACGCUGAGGCACGAAAGCUAGGGGAGCGAAC
This 250-nucleotide ribosomal RNA is filed under the name uncultured bacterium. Its description in RNAcentral is "partial 16S ribosomal RNA". It matches the Rfam family "Bacterial small subunit ribosomal RNA", at positions 524 to 773 of the family's 1533-position model. The record is from RNAcentral.